GUCUCCAGAUGAGUUUGCGUAUCAUUAGCUAGUUGGUAGGGUAAUGGCCUACCAAGGCGACGAUGAUUAGCCGACCUGAGAGGGUGAUCGGCCACACUGGGACUGAGAUACGGCCCAGACUCCUACGGGAGGCAGCAGUGGGGAAUAUUGGACAAUGGGCGAAAGCCUGAUCCAGCAACGCCGCGUGAAGGAAGAAGGUCUUCGGAUUGUAAACUUCUGUUAUAGGGGAAAAAGAAAGUGAUGGUACCCUAUGAGAAAGCCAUGGCUAACUACGUGCCAGCAGCCGCGGUAAAACGUAGGUGGCAAGCGUUAUCCGGAAUUACUGGGCGUAAAGGGAGUGUAGGUGGCUUGAUAAGUCACAUGUGAAAGCCCACGGCUUAACCGUGGAAGUGCAUGUGAUACUGUUGAGCUAGAGUGUAGGAGAGGUGAGUGGAAUUCCUAGUGUAGCGGUAGAAUGCGUAGAGAUUAGGAGGAACACCAGAGGCGAAGGCGACUCACUGGACUAUAACUGACACUGAGACUCGAAAGCGUGGGGAGCAAACAGGAUUAGAUACCCUGGUAGUCCACGCCCUAAACGAUGGAUACUAGAUGUGGGGAGUAUCGACUCUUCCCGUGUCGUAGCUAACGCGUUAAGUAUCCCGCCUGGGGAGUACGGUCGCAAGAUUAAAACUCAAAGGAAUUGACGGGACCCCGCACAAGCAGCGGAGCAUGUCGUUUAAUUCGAAGCAACGCGAAGAACCUUACCAAGGCUUGACAUUAGAUGCAUAGUAUGGAAACAUAUGAAGUUUUGUAGCAAUACAUACAGAACAUCCAAACAGAUGGUGCAUGGUUGUCGUCAGCUCGUGUCGUGAGAUGUUGGGUUAAGUCCCGCAACGAGCGCAACCCUUGUCGUUAGUUACCAGCACGUAAUGGUGGACUCUAGCGAGACUGCCGUUGAUAAAACGGAGGAAGGUGGGGAUGACGUCAAAUCAUCAUGCCUCUUACGCCUUGGGCUACACACGUGCUACAAUGGCCGUUACAAAGAGAUGCGAAGUAGUAAUAUGGAGCGAAACUCAAAAAGGCGGUCUCAGUUCAGAUUGUGGGCUGCAACCCGCCCACAUGAAGAUGGAGUUGCUAGUAAUCCUGAAUCAGAAUGUCAG
RNAcentral lists this ribosomal RNA (1139 nucleotides) under uncultured bacterium. RNAcentral describes it as "bacterial SSU rRNA". It matches the Rfam family "Bacterial small subunit ribosomal RNA", at positions 217 to 1360 of the family's 1533-position model. The record is from RNAcentral.